CAUUAUUCGUAGCUCAACGGUAGAGCAGUCCGAUAAAUCGGGAAGGUUACGGGUUCGAUUCCUGUCGCAAUGG
Molecule: transfer RNA, 73 nt
Filed under: Deltaproteobacteria bacterium
Lineage: Bacteria; Pseudomonadati; Myxococcota; Myxococcia
Description: tRNA-Leu
Rfam family: tRNA (bases 8-67)
About the family: Transfer RNA (tRNA) molecules are approximately 80 nucleotides in length. Their secondary structure includes four short double-helical elements and three loops (D, anti-codon, and T loops).
Source: RNAcentral